UCUGGGAAGGAAGAUUGUUCGGUUUAUUAGGGGGGAAUUAUUGCGGAGAUAUUUUGGGAAUUUUUGCGAGUCGGAUAGACCGGGGGAUGGAAUUAUUGAUGUUUAUGUCGUUUAGUCUGCGGUUUUUUUGGUGAUAUGGAGAAGAUUGGCAUCGUACGAAUUAUGAUUUGAUGCGUUAAGUAUUUGUGAAUGGGAUUUUUUAUGAUUUAGUAUUUAUGAAGAGACUUGGAGGUGUUGAAUCACUUGAAGAACUUUUUCGAUUGAAGUAAUGGAAUUGAUGGAGUCCAUUCGCGAAUAUGUUAAUCAGCAGAAGUUGACAAGUAUUGAGAGUAAGUCUUGACAACCGACAACGACAACAGGGAAUUAUAAUUUAUUACAAAAUAUAAAGUAUACGGUAUUAAAGGCAAAACAAAAAAAAACGUGGUGAUUAACUAUCGAUUCGAGCCAGUUAUGUCUAUUGAUCAUUUCUCAUUGAAUAACUCCAAAACCAGUCGAGAUAGCAAAGUUUUUUGUAUGACCUUUUUUGGAGACAGAAGUGAUAGCAACAAAAAAGGUAAUCACCUAAAUUUCGCCAUCUCCCUUAGAUUCGGAAAUAUGGCCAGUUCAAUUAGUUCGUAACCUCAUUGACUUGCAUUGUUUUGUCGCGUUGUCGUUGAACUCUGAAAAAUAGCAGAUUUUGCGGGAUUUUCAUUUUUAUUAUCGCGAAUAAACAUUGCGCGAAGGUCGACUAGGGCAGAGAUCAAGAGAUCGGCAGGUUAAAAUUCACCGCGAUGUAGAGUGCAAUGGAAAGAAGGAAGAACGAAAAGGGACUCACAUAAUUCAGAGGCAGGCGGCCGCGGUUGACAGUUUUAUGAGAGUUUGAUAGCCUCUUGGGCGCAACUACGUGCGAUCCCACAAGAUCGCGAAUGACUGAGGGAGAUGGUGAAUGCGCACAACGCGUAGCACUCUUCAUUGUCCCAUAAAUUCAAACCUGUUGCCCCGAGUCGAGUGAGGGAUUUUUCGGCGGGAUAGAAUGAGACAGAAUUUCCGAAUUGUUUGGGAAGCCGCUGUGAUUAUGGUUAUCAUUGUAUAUCUGGUUGUUUUGGUGAUACAGAAGGAGGAGAGGCAUCAGCUGGAGUGCAAAGAGGCGGAGGCGAUGGAUAAGGGGGAGGCGGUCGAGGGGGCGGGGCUCGAUAAUCGCCGAGAUAUCUCCCGAUAUUUUCGACACUCAACGUCAAAUUCUUUGAAAAUUUUGGAAACUUUUCGGUCGAGAGUUUUGAAUUCAGGACAAAAUUCUGCCGACAUCAAAGAAACUUCUCAUAAUUUUUUGUCAUAAUUUUUUUGGGAAAAAAGGAUGGAGUGAGAGGGUAGUUGCUGCAGUUGCUCACCAGAUGUGGUGAGCGCGGCGGUUCCCGUUGAAUUGAAGCGCGCGACCGCCCCCCAGGUUCCCCCACCAACGACGAUGAUCCAUUCUACCCCCUCCACUGGUGCAGGAGCCCCCCCGAGGCCGGCACAGGGUAAAACUGGCUAUCUCUUCCAGCUAAACAUGUUGAGCAUGUAACUUGGAGUUUUGCACUGGUUUUCAUAGUCUCUCCUUUUCUCGCGGGAGCAUGAGGCGCGGGAGCAAACGAGUACUUUAUCCAUGAUUAUCGGGGAUUCUUGAUCAAAUAUGUUUUUGGAGCGGCUACGAGGUGCAUAAACCAUUUUCGGAGGCUAACAGAUACACGUGUCCGGUCGGCUUGGCUUUAGCGACAAGUGAUUCAUGGAGGUAUCGAUACGUUUUUUACACCUCACGACGGCUUUAUUAGAAAUUCUAAUGGGGCAAACGGGGCCUACACCGCGCCGCCGGGUAACUCUGCACUGAGAAGUAUCCCGAUGUGUAUAGGAUACGCGGAGAGUGACACGAGAGGAGAAACCGAGACGGUCCACAGAGCGACGGAUGGAAUGGGCUAAUCAUGCCGACUUCUUGCCAGCCCUUUUCUCUUAUUCUCUGCAUAUAUGCCUGUAUUUCUAGACUUACUCGAACCAUUGUGCCUCACUCUGACAUGAUGACUCCAUUCAGGGAAACGUACUCACCAACCUGAAGAGGGGGAGGGGGCUGGUUUUGAAUCUGAUUUCAGAAUUUGUUGGAAUUGAUUGGGAAUUUUUGGAUGAAAAAAAAUUAUCUGGGUGUUGCGGCGUAAAGUUCUUGAGGAAGGGGGCUUGGCCCCUUGCGAGUUUCACCUGUCAAUGUGGACUGACUCAGCCCCCCCUGAUAAGCGUUUUUUUUUUCCGUGGAGAGGGGGUGUUGGUGAGGAGGAUAUUAAUCAGCGAAUUUGUUGAUGAGAUAGACCUUAUGCAGACUGAUACGAAGAAAAUAUUUUAAUUUUUUAUUGUUAUUAUUAUCGAAGGGGGUGACAGUCGUCUGAUAGUGGGGAGACUCCUAGUAGAGGAUUGAUGUAAUGUGGUGUGGAGUAAAUUAUUAAUAAAAAAAAUGUUCCUCAUGAUGUAGUUGUGGAAGCUGGAAUUGUUUAUAAAAUUGGAGGUUAUAAAACUGAAUUUUUUCCCCGGAUAUUCGACCACUUGUAACCCAAAAAUAUCGCAAUACCAUUGGACUGUAAACCAUCCCCCUUUACAACCCUUUUCUUCUAAAGAAAAAGAAUUCAUAA
Diachasmimorpha longicaudata is the source of this 2627-nucleotide RNA transcript. RefSeq lists it as uncharacterized. The transcript is spliced from 3 exons. The record is from RefSeq and is a predicted model, not a curated record. Lineage: Eukaryota; Metazoa; Arthropoda; Insecta; Hymenoptera; Braconidae.